This 879-nucleotide long non-coding RNA is filed under the name Homo sapiens (human). Its description in RNAcentral is "non-protein coding lnc-PIP4P2-3:1". Lineage: Eukaryota; Metazoa; Chordata; Mammalia; Primates; Hominidae. The record is from RNAcentral.
GCACCUAAAGGUUCCAUGACUUUUGCUUCCAACCGAGGGAAAGGAAAAGCAAAAAUAGAGAAGGCACAUCUGCUUCUUAAUCAACUUGGCUUGGGAGUGGAACACCCCUAUUCAUAUUCCAUUUACAGGAGCUAAUCUCAUGGUGGGAACUGCAGUGGCUGAGCAGCAGCAUCUUAGCAGAUACUGUGCUUUAUGAAAGGUGGGUGGGGGUGUAGAUAUUUACUAGACAUCCACCUGUGUCUGCUGCAAUCCUGAAUAGCUGGACAUUUGUCUCAGCCACAAAACCCACUGCCUACCACCAACUGGAAAACACAUUGACCAGGCCUAGUCAUUCAGAGUGGACUGGACCAUUCUUCCAACAGCAGCAAUAGUCUCAUGAACCAAUCGGAGUCAAUUAGGGUUCUCCAUGGGGUUUAACACCUUGAAGGAUGUAAACAGAGGGCUGCCAGCAGUCAUAAUGCCUUUCAUAAGAACAAGAAGGCCUCGUUCGUUAGAAAGGAAGCCUCAGAGACCAUAGGAAAAGACCUAGCUCAAUGUUACUUUAUUUUAUUUUCUCAUCUUCAUCUAUCACACAUUGACCUAGCCCAAUAUUACCUUAUUUUAUUUUCUCAUCUUCAUCUAUCACACUCAUUCUUACUUAUAAUUUCCCCUGUCAGAUUCCUAAAGAAUGGGCAGCAAGAAGAGAAAGGAGCUAAUUAACAAUGAGGAAAGUGUAUGAACAAUGGAGCAAGCAUGUGACAGAAGACAUUGGCAUGGCUGGGUGACAGGGAGGACCAAGGGAGGGAAGGCAAAAUUGCUCAAAAAAAUGUAGCUAAAUUAGGAAAUGUCUUUAAAGCUGGACUUUAAGAUUUUUGGCAAAAGUAGUAAUGUGGACUCCUA